Molecule: long non-coding RNA, 980 nt
Organism: Lepisosteus oculatus (spotted gar)
Lineage: Eukaryota; Metazoa; Chordata; Actinopteri; Semionotiformes; Lepisosteidae
Source: RefSeq, a predicted model, not a curated record
AUGGAAAAAUGCACGAUUAAACGCGUUUAAAUCAACGCGAAUCGUUUAAAUUAUGUGCACUGUAUUUAGAAAAAAAGAGUAAAGAAAAAGCAAAUUGGAGCCCAUGUGAUGAGAUGGAAAACGCAGUCUGGGUUAAAUCUCGGUCAAUUUUAUAAUCAACACACCUGCGAGGUCACCUGUUCACCUGGAGGAAAAGAUGGCGGCCGUUCCAAAGUGCUGAACUUCGAGGCCUACCAAUGGAAGCGAUAUAAAUUAGUAUUUUGAGAUGUAAAUCCGAAGAGAAUUAUAUUUUAAAAAGAAAUGCAUAAUAUGCCACCGUUUUUUAACAUUUGCUGCAUUGUUCAGGAGUGGAUUUUAUGCAAACGUGUUAUUUUGCUGGUCUGCAGGAGGCAGCCGGGAACAUUUCCUUCCUACAGUUUAACUUCGUUUCGAAGAUAAACAUUUUUAAAAUACCGCUUUCCAGGAAAGACUGUCCCAGACGUGGCCAAGAAGAACAUGACCCUGGUCUUUUCAAUUGUAGAAAUUGUUUGGUGAAUUGUACUGGUGCUUGUCUUCAUUUAAUUAUUUUAUGUGAAUUUGUCCACUGUUUUAUGUGGUAAUGUUCUUGCCUCAUGUGGACACUUAAAGCCAGUAUCGGAGCCAACCAAAGUGUGGAGGUUGAUGUCCAUGUGAUGUUAGCAGUGAGCCCUCCCCAAAGCCUCCUAAUGAACUAAAACUGCUAAUGAAAAUGAAUGGAGAUAGGCAAGGGAAAGCCAUGGCUGCUAACCCAAAUAACUGGGAGGUGUGGUCUCUGUGUGCUGCCUACACUAUAUACACACUGUAUAUAAAGGGGGGAGAUUGUGGCUAUCUCCCUUUGUUUUCAUUAGUGAUCUUACUUCAUAGUUAAUUAACUGAGGGUGGGAAAUGGUACCAGAUUUCUGUUCAGCCAGGUCAUGAGGCAGGCAGAAGAGCUUGUGCCAAAGCCCGACUCAACAUCCUGA